Molecule: ribosomal RNA, 253 nt
Filed under: uncultured bacterium
Lineage: Bacteria
Description: partial 16S ribosomal RNA
Rfam family: Bacterial small subunit ribosomal RNA
Source: RNAcentral
UACGAAGGGGGCUAGCGUUGUUCGGAAUUACUGGGCGUAAGGCGCACGUAGGCGGACAUUUAAGUUGGAGGUGAAAGCCUUGGGCUCAACCCAAGAAUUGCCUUUGAUACUGGAUGUCUCGAGACCGGGAGAGGUGAGUGGAAUUCCGAGUGUAGAGGUGAAAUUCGUAGAUAUUCGGAAGAACACCAGUGGCGAAGGCGGCUCACUGGCCCGGUUCUGACGCUGAGGUGCGAAAGCGUGGGGAGCAAACAGG